Molecule: non-coding RNA, 111 nt
Organism: Acanthosepion pharaonis
Lineage: Eukaryota; Metazoa; Mollusca; Cephalopoda; Sepiida; Sepiidae
Source: the annotation of a GenBank genome assembly
CGAUCGUAUAACGUUGAAAUACCGGGUCCCAUACGAUCAUCAAAAUUAAGCAAAGGCGAGCCUGGUCAGUAUCUAGCUGGGUGACCGCUUGAGAAUACCAGGUGCUGCAAG